RNAcentral lists this non-coding RNA (189 nucleotides) under Arabidopsis thaliana (thale cress). Lineage: Eukaryota; Viridiplantae; Streptophyta; Magnoliopsida; Brassicales; Brassicaceae. The record is from RNAcentral.
UUACCAAAAACCAUUCCCAUUAUAGCAUUCUUUCGUUACGUGGAGGUUCAGGUUACACGACAAAGAUGAGAGACUAUUCUCGGUGGUCUAAAAAACGACUUUGUUUUAGACAAAACGGUGCGUAGUUGUUUUUAGAAAACGGCAGGUAGUUUGCGUCUCAAAGGAUAUAUCUGUUACCAAACAGAAGAG